Salvia miltiorrhiza (redroot sage) is the source of this 973-nucleotide long non-coding RNA. RefSeq lists it as uncharacterized. The record is from RefSeq and is a predicted model, not a curated record. The transcript has 3 exons. NCBI's taxonomy places the organism in Eukaryota, Viridiplantae, Streptophyta, Magnoliopsida, Lamiales, Lamiaceae.
CUCCCACCACUGCGAUCUGUUUCGCCGGACCACCCCGUCCCGUUCCCCCACCGCGAUCUGCCCCCUCCCAUCUCCACACCGGUUCUUUCUCCCCCAAAAUUCCCAAAUCUUAAUUUCACAGACUCUCCCUCCCCCGUGUCGAUUCGCCGUCCUAAGUCAGCGCCGCCGCUCCUUCUCCUUUCCCCGUUUCAACACCAGAGUCUCCCUCCCUCGCUUCAAUUCGCCGCAGUUCGGCCCCAAGUCAGUGUCGCCGCCCCUUCCUCCCGUUUCAACACCAGACUCUCUCUUCCCGCAACAGCCCUACCCCCAAGUCGGCGCUACCGCCAAUGGCUGCCUUGCGUCUGGCACCACCGCCGUCAAUCCGCCGGACAUUACUUGGCUCCGAAACAGUUCUUGAUUAGCCAUGACUCUGAGCGACGUAAUAUGAUAUUUUGGAAAUAGUUGUUGCUCGCUGCCUAUGGCUCAUGACCAGCUAUUGUUGAGGGGCGCUGGUGCUGUACCGAGUCAGGAGAAGGGGGGAUUCCUUGGUGUGGUGUGUGUGUUGUUGGCUAAGUAGUCGAAUCAGGGGCAGAGGGCGGAGAUGGUGGCAGCGUAUGGCUGCUGCUAUCGGCCAGAGUGAGCAGAGGAUAGAGGGAGAAGAAGGUAAGAGGAAGAAAGAGAUGUGUGGUUCCAGCAUUUUAGGUUUAAGGAUUUCAAAGGAUUUUGUAUAUUUUACUUUAGAAUAAUACUGGAAUAAUAUGGCCUUAUAUAUGGUGCAUAUUGUUCCAUAUUUCAUAUGAGGAUUUGAUUCCUCCUUAUUUCACUUUUUAUUUUCUCCAAGUAGGCGCGUCCUGUUGUGCUAAUGAAUGAGAUUAAGAGCCCCUGUAACUCAAUUUUGUAAUAUUGUUUGUGAGAGGAGAGAGAUGCAAUAUGAAUCUCCAACUGGAUGUCUAACACUUUGAUCAGUUAGUUAUAUGUGUUGUGCAUAUUUUAA